Molecule: ribosomal RNA, 518 nt
Filed under: uncultured bacterium
Lineage: Bacteria
Description: bacterial SSU rRNA
Rfam family: Bacterial small subunit ribosomal RNA
Source: RNAcentral
GAUGAACGCUAGCGAUAGGCCUAACACAUGCAAGUCGAGGGGCAUCACAUGAAGUAGCAAUACGGAUGGUGGCGACCGGCGCACGGGUGAGUAACACGUAUGCAACCUGCCUUCAACAAGGGGAUAACCCGUUGAAAGACGGACUAAUACCCUAUAACACAGGGGUCCCGCAUGGGAAUAUUUGUUAAAGGACAACCGGUUGAAGAUGGGCAUGCGUUCCAUUAGCUAGUUGGCGGGGUAACGGCCCACCAAGGCAACGAUGGAUAGGGGAACUGAGAGGUUUAUCCCCCACACUGGUACUGAGACACGGACCAGACUCCUACGGGAGGCAGCAGUGAGGAAUAUUGGUCAAUGGACGCAAGUCUGAACCAGCCACGUCGCGUGAAGGAAGACGGCCCUACGGGUUGUAAACUUCUUUUAUACGGGGAAUAAAGUGCCCCACGCGUGGGGUUUUGCAUGUACCGUAUGAAUAAGGAUCGGCUAACUCCGUGCCAGCAGCCGCGGUAAGUACGCAGCGA